Molecule: ribosomal RNA, 113 nt
Filed under: Candidatus Bathyarchaeota archaeon
Lineage: Archaea; Thermoproteati; Candidatus Bathyarchaeota
Description: partial 16S ribosomal RNA
Rfam family: Archaeal small subunit ribosomal RNA
Source: RNAcentral
UGCGGCCGUAACUCCGGUUGAUCCUGCCGGACCCGACCGCUAUCGGGGUGGGACUAAGCCAUGGGAGUCGUACGCCCCGCCGCUGCGGGGCGUGGCGGACGGCUGAGUAACAC